RNAcentral lists this ribosomal RNA (500 nucleotides) under uncultured bacterium. RNAcentral describes it as "partial 16S ribosomal RNA". It matches the Rfam family "Bacterial small subunit ribosomal RNA", at positions 30 to 523 of the family's 1533-position model. The record is from RNAcentral.
AUUGAACGCUGGCGGAAUGCUUUACACAUGCAAGUCGAACGGCAGCACGGACUUCGGUCUGGUGGCGAGUGGCGAACGGGUGAGUAAUACAUCGGAACGUGCCCAGUCGGGGGGGAUAACGUAGCGAAUGCUACGCUAAUACCGCCUACGAUCUAAGGAUGAAAGCGGGGGAUCGCAAGACCUCGCGCGAUGGGAGCGGCCGAUGGCAGAUUAGGUAGUUGGUGGGGUAAAGGCUCACCAAGCCGACGAUCUGUAGCUGGUCUGAGAGGACGACCAGCCACACUGGGACUGAGACACGGCCCAGACUCCUACGGGAGGCAGCAGUGGGGAAUUUUGGACAAUGGGCGAAAGCCUGAUCCAGCCAUUCCGCGUGCAGGAUGAAGGCCCUCGGGUUGUAAACUGCUUUUGUACGGAACGAAAAGGCUCUGGUUAAUACCUGGGGCUCAUGACGGUACCGUAAGAAUAAGCACCGGCUAACUACGUGCCAGCCGCCGCAGUAA